This 838-nucleotide ribosomal RNA is filed under the name uncultured bacterium. RNAcentral describes it as "bacterial SSU rRNA". It matches the Rfam family "Bacterial small subunit ribosomal RNA", at positions 227 to 1059 of the family's 1533-position model. The record is from RNAcentral.
GGGCCCGCGGCCCAUUAGCUUGUUGGUGAGGUAACCGCUUACCAAGGCGACGAUGGGUAGCUGGUCUGAGAGGACGAUCAGCCACACUGGGACUGAGACACGGCCCAGACUCCUACGGGAGGCAGCAGUGGGGAAUCUUGCGCAAUGGGCGAAAGCCUGACGCAGCAACGCCGCGUGGGGGAAGAAGGCCUUCGGGUUGUAAACCCCUUUCAGUUGGGACGAAGCUUCCAGAGUUAAUAGCUUUGUGGAGUGACGGUACCUUCAGAAGAAGCCCCGGCUAACUACGUGCCAGCAGCCGCGGUAUUACGUAGGGGGCUAGCGUUGUCCGGAUUCAUUGGGCGUAAAGCGCGUGUAGGCGGUCCGGUAAGUCCGCUGUGAAAGUCGGGGGCUCAACCCUCGGAUGCCGGUGGAUACUGUCGGGCUUGAGUACGGAAGAGGCGAGUGGAAUUCCUGGUGUAGCGGUGAAAUGCGCAGAUAUCAGGAGGAACACCAAUUGCGAAGGCAGCUCGCUGGGACGUUACUGACGCUGAGACGCGAAAGCGUGGGGAGCAAACAGGAUUAGAUACCCUGGUAGUCCACGCUGUAAACGAUGGGCACUAGGUGUGGGGGGUGUCGACUCCCUCCGUGCCGAAGCUAACGCAUUAAGUGCCCCGCCUGGGGAGUACGGCCGCAAGGCUAAAACUCAAAGGAAUUGACGGGCCCGCACAAGCAGCGGAGCAUGUGGUUUAAUUCGACGCAACGCGAAGUACCUUACCUGGGCUUGACAUGUUCCUGACCGUCCUGGAAACAGGGCUUCCCUUCGGGGCAGGAUCACAGGUGGUGCAUGGCUGUCGUCAGC